RNAcentral lists this ribosomal RNA (383 nucleotides) under Methanobacteriota archaeon. Its description in RNAcentral is "bacterial SSU rRNA". It matches the Rfam family "Archaeal small subunit ribosomal RNA", at positions 1 to 386 of the family's 1478-position model. The record is from RNAcentral. Lineage: Archaea; Methanobacteriati; Methanobacteriota.
AAAUCCGGUUGAUCCUGCCGGAGGCUACCGCUAUUGGAGUUCGAUUAAGCCAUGCGAGUCGAGAGUCUUAGGGACUCGGCGUACCGCUCAGUAACACGUGGGUAACCUGCCCUAUGCUGGGGAAUAACCUCGGGAAACUGAGAAUAAUGCCCCAUAGUCCACAAUGCCUGGAACGGUUUGUGGAUCAAAGCUCCGGCGGCAUAGGAUGGGCCUGCGGCGUAUCAGGUUGUAGGGGGUGUAACGUACCCUCUAGCCAUCAACGCGUACGGGUGUUGGGAGACAUUGCCCGGAGAUGGAUUCUGAGACACGAAUCCAGACCCUACGGGGUGCAGCAGGCGCGGAAACUUGGCAAUGCGAGAAAUCGUGACCAGGGAACUCCAAGU